Molecule: ribosomal RNA, 387 nt
Filed under: Lacticaseibacillus rhamnosus
Lineage: Bacteria; Bacillati; Bacillota; Bacilli; Lactobacillales; Lactobacillaceae
Description: bacterial SSU rRNA
Rfam family: Bacterial small subunit ribosomal RNA
Source: RNAcentral
GUGGUUUAAUUCGAAGCAACGCGAAGAACCUUACCAGGUCUUGACAUCUUUUGAUCACCUGAGAGAUCAGGUUUCCCCUUCGGGGGCAAAAUGACAGGUGGUGCAUGGUUGUCGUCAGCUCGUGUCGUGAGAUGUUGGGUUAAGUCCCGCAACGAGCGCAACCCUUAUGACUAGUUGCCAGCAUUUAGUUGGGCACUCUAGUAAGACUGCCGGUGACAAACCGGAGGAAGGUGGGGAUGACGUCAAAUCAUCAUGCCCCUUAUGACCUGGGCUACACACGUGCUACAAUGGAUGGUACAACGAGUUGCGAGACCGCGAGGUCAAGCUAAUCUCUUAAAGCCAUUCUCAGUUCGGACUGUAGGCUGCAACUCGCCUACACGAAGUCGG